CUCCUGGAAACGGGUGGUAAUGCCCGAUGCUCCAUCAUGCUGCAUGGUGUGGUGGGAAAGCUUCGGCGGUAUGGGAUGGGGUCGCGUCCUAUCAGCUUGUUGGUGGGGUAAUGGCCUACCAAGGCUUCGACGGGUAGCCGGCCUGAGAGGGCGACCGGCCACAUUGGGACUGAGAUACGGCCCAGACUCCUACGGGAGGCAGCAGUGGGGAAUAUUGCGCAAUGGGGGGAACCCUGACGCAGCGACGCCGCGUGCGGGAUGGAGGCCUUCGGGUUGUGAACCGCUUUUGGUAAGGAGCAAGCGAGAGUGAGUGUACUCAUCGAAUAAGGACCGGCUAACUACGUGCCAGCAGCCGCGGUAAUACGUAGGGUCCAAGCGCUGUCCGGAAUUAUUGGGCGUAAAGGGCUCGUAGGCGGCCUGUCGCGUCUGGUGUGAAAGCCCGUGGCUUAACUGCGGGUCUGCGCUGGAUACGGGCGGGCUAGAGUGCGGUAGGGGAGAAUGGAAUUCCCGGUGUAACGGCGGAAUGUGUAGAUAUCGGGAAGAACACC
RNAcentral lists this ribosomal RNA (548 nucleotides) under uncultured bacterium. Its description in RNAcentral is "bacterial SSU rRNA". It matches the Rfam family "Bacterial small subunit ribosomal RNA", at positions 147 to 710 of the family's 1533-position model. The record is from RNAcentral.